UGAACGACUCUCGGCAACGGAUAUCUCGGCUCUCGCAUCGAUGAAGAACGUAGCGAAAUGCGAUACCUGGUGUGAAUUGCAGAAUCCCGUGAACCAUCGAGUCUUUGAACGCAAGUUGCGCCCGAGGCCAUCCGGCUAAGGGCACGCCUGCCUGGGCGUCACGC
This 164-nucleotide ribosomal RNA is filed under the name Musa ornata. RNAcentral describes it as "5.8S ribosomal RNA". It matches the Rfam family "5.8S ribosomal RNA". From Rfam's summary of the family: 5.8S ribosomal RNA (5.8S rRNA) is a component of the large subunit of the eukaryotic ribosome. It is transcribed by RNA polymerase I as part of the 45S precursor that also contains 18S and 28S rRNA. Functionally, it is thought that 5.8S rRNA may be involved in ribosome translocation. The record is from RNAcentral. Lineage: Eukaryota; Viridiplantae; Streptophyta; Magnoliopsida; Zingiberales; Musaceae.